GGCGAAAGCCUGACGCAGCCACGCCGCGUGGAGGAAGACGCUCCUAUGGGGUGUAAACUCCUUUUCCAGGGGAAGAACCCCCCUCGUGGAGGGGCCUGACGGUACCCUGGGAAUAAGCACCGGCUAACUCCGUGCCAGCAGCCGCGGUAAUACGGAGGGUGCAAGCGUUGUCCGGAAUUAUUGGGUGUAAAGGGUGUGUAGGCGGACCUGUAAGUCAGGGGUGAAAGCCCGCGGCUCAACCGUGGAAUGGCCUUUGAUACUGCAGGUCUUGAGUGUCGGAGAGGUCGCUGGAAUUCGUGGUGUAGCGGUGAAAUGCGUAGAUAUCACGAGGAACACCAGAGGCGUAGGCGGGCGACUGGACGACAACUGACGCUGAGGCACGAAAGCGUGGGGAGCAAACAGGAUUAGAUACCCUGGUAGUCCUUUUCCGUAAACGAUGGAUGCUCGAUGUCGGGGCCACUGGCUUCGGCGUCUAAGCUAACGCGUUAAGCAUCCCACCUGGG
Molecule: ribosomal RNA, 503 nt
Filed under: uncultured Rhodothermus sp.
Lineage: Bacteria; Pseudomonadati; Rhodothermota; Rhodothermia; Rhodothermales; Rhodothermaceae
Description: bacterial SSU rRNA
Rfam family: Bacterial small subunit ribosomal RNA
Source: RNAcentral